Molecule: long non-coding RNA, 1687 nt
Filed under: Gadus morhua (Atlantic cod)
Lineage: Eukaryota; Metazoa; Chordata; Actinopteri; Gadiformes; Gadidae
Description: lncRNA (ENSGMOG00000023512.1)
Source: RNAcentral
ACGCAAUUCAAAUUCUGCACCACAGAUCUCAUCAGUACAAGAUUAAUGUCUCUCUCUCAUUCUCUCUCUCUCUCUUGCUCUCUCGCUUUCUCUCUUUCAUCUCCCUCUCUCACUCCUCUCGCAUUCAUCCCUCUCUCCCACCUCCCUCUCCCUUCUCCUCCCUCUCCCAUACUCUCUUUCAUCUCUCUAUCUCCUCCCUCUCCUUCUUGAGAUUUCACUUCCUGUCAUUCAUCUUCCUAUCUCUCUCUCUCUCUCUCUCUCUCUCUCUCUCUCUCUCUCUCUCUCUCUCUCUCUCUCCCUCACUCUCGCUCUCACUCUCGCUCUCUCUCUUCCUCUCUUCCCUCCUCCCUCCUCCCUCCGUCUCCCUUUUCUCCACUACACUCUCCUCACUCUCUUCUCUGUACCUAUCUCCCUCUCCCUCUACCUCUCUCUCUCUCUCUCUCUUUCUCCCUCCCUCCCUCGCUCCCUCCGUGUCCCUUUGUGUUGUGCUGGAGGUGUGAGGAGGAGGAGGAGGCAGGCGGCGCUGGAUGGAUGUCCUUAUGAAGAGCCGGUCUCCGCGUCGUGUCGACCGACGGAGCACUACAGAGAGGUCCUGACCGCCCCCCAGCGUGGCUCCGUCCUGCCGCCCCAGGAGCUGAUGACCAGACUAUGCUUGCUGCUGGGAGACCCCGCCCACCCAGCGACCAUGGAGGAUCUCAGGGAGAGCAUGUGCCAGGAAGCCAGUCCCAGCUCCACCCUGACCUGUAGCUCCGCCUCCCCGCGAUCGGACAGCCCCACCUCCUCCUCCUCCAACAACAUGAUACCCACUACCGGGGCGCCCCCCUCACCGGGUCCCCAUUCUGGCCCUCCGGCACCCAGCGCCCCCUUUGGGCCCAGGAGUGUCUCGGGGGCCCCUCACCCCGGGCCGGCCCCCAGCCCGGGGCUCUGUCCUGGGGGCAGCCCCUGGCCCGGCCGGAGCCCCACCUCCACCCUGGAGAGCAAGGACAGCGGCAUCAUAGGUACGAGAGGGGGGGUCCCAACGCUGGGUCUUAUCAUAGUAACAACAACACAUUUCAUUUGGAGGCACCUUUCUCGUCCCUCAAAGACAGAACAGAGAAUAAGGACAGAGAAAAUAAUAACAACAGUAUUAGGCGUAGCAAUUGGCAUCAGAUGGAAUAGACAGUUUUGAACAGAUGUGUUCUGAGUUGUGAUUUGGAAAUGGGGGAAUGAAUGGGUCUUCAACCUCAUUCACAUUUACAUUUAGGGCAUUCAGCAGAUGCUUUUAUCCAAAGCGACUUGCAAUAAGUACAUUUGCCAGAUGAAGUUGAAACAAUAUAUAUCACUGUUGGUACAGUAAGGACGUUCAGAGUACCAAGUGCAAAGCAUUAACCAGUAAGUACGUACAUUAAGUGCCAGGACGAACAACAGACAUUAAGUACGAGUGGGUGGGACGAGCUGGUUAUGCAGAGCCAGGUCAAGUAUUUCAAUUUCAUUAUUACAGAGAAUAAUGUAUUUAUAAGACUCUGUAUCAUCCAGACAUGACACUGUUUAGGUUAUUUGUGCCCCUAAAAAGUACACGACAGUGGAGUUGAAGCAGAGAGAGAAUGACGUAAAGCAUAGUACCACCAUUGUAGUCUCCCAGGUGUUUCUGAGUCCCAUAGUGUUUGUGGGGUCUUGCAGGGUUUGUGGGGUCUUGCAGGGUUUGUGG